GCUUAGGUCCAGUGGUUAGGAUCUUUCGCUUUCACCGAAAUGGCCCGGGUUCGAACCCCGUAAGUCG
This 67-nucleotide transfer RNA is filed under the name Pseudocercospora pini-densiflorae CBS 125139. RNAcentral's name for it is "tRNA-Glu (TTC) (tRNA-Glu-TTC-1-1)". It matches the Rfam family "tRNA", at positions 5 to 66 of the family's 71-position model. Rfam says of the family: Transfer RNA (tRNA) molecules are approximately 80 nucleotides in length. Their secondary structure includes four short double-helical elements and three loops (D, anti-codon, and T loops). The record is from RNAcentral. Lineage: Eukaryota; Fungi; Ascomycota; Dothideomycetes; Mycosphaerellales; Mycosphaerellaceae.